This 334-nucleotide unclassified non-coding RNA is filed under the name soil metagenome. RNAcentral describes it as "partial contains 5.8S ribosomal RNA, internal transcribed spacer 2, and large subunit ribosomal RNA". The stretch from base 1 to 120 matches the Rfam family "5.8S ribosomal RNA", at positions 35 to 154 of the family's 154-position model. The record is from RNAcentral.
GAUGAAGAACGCAGCGAAAUGCGAUAAGUAAUGUGAAUUGCAGAAUUCAGUGAAUCAUCGAAUCUUUGAACGCACAUUGCGCCCGCUAGUAUUCUGGCGGGCAUGCCUGUUCGAGCGUCAUUUCAACCAUCAGGCCCUGCUUGUGUUGGGGUCCUGCGGCUGCCCGCAGGCCCUGAAAACCAGUGGCGGGCUCGCUAGUCACACCGAGCGCAGUAGCACAUCUCGCUCAGGGCGUGCGGCGGGUUCUUGCCGUAAAACACCCCCUUUUUACCAAGGUUGACCUCGGAUCAGGUAGGAAUACCCGCUGAACUUAAGCAUAUCAAUAAGCGGAGGA